Long non-coding RNA from Bombyx mori (domestic silkworm), 425 nucleotides. RefSeq lists it as uncharacterized. The transcript is spliced from 2 exons. Lineage: Eukaryota; Metazoa; Arthropoda; Insecta; Lepidoptera; Bombycidae. The record is from RefSeq and is a predicted model, not a curated record.
AUAUUUGGAUCGCAAUAGUGGACAAUAAAUCAAAUUAAUGAUAAGCUAGAAAUUUUUGAAGAGAAUUAAAUGGUAUGGAGUUGUGAUGAGGUGAUUGUUUAUUAGGGAGCGAAACAGCGCACCGUCGACCUAGUUAGUCACUAAUAAAAAACUGCUAUUACUUACACAGUCCAGAAAUACGACUACUAAUAUAGAAUGCUGAUGGUGUAGCUACCCCGGAAUGCUUACGCGAGCUGAGGCAGCGCAGCAUCGACAGGGUCGCCGUCCGUCGGUCGAUACACCCGCGACAAACUGCCUCUCACAAUGAAACUGCACGAAUUCAAAAUUUAAAUCUCUACAUAUUUUUAUACCAAUAACCAAAUUACCAAAUUGAUGAAAGAAAUAGUGCCCUAUUCAAGUGUACAAAUUACACUAUUAAUUUUGUA